Molecule: ribosomal RNA, 301 nt
Filed under: uncultured bacterium
Lineage: Bacteria
Description: partial 16S ribosomal RNA
Rfam family: Bacterial small subunit ribosomal RNA
Source: RNAcentral
CAGUCGCCGCGGUAAAACAGAGGGUGCAAGCGUUAAUCGGAAUUACUGGGCGUAAAGCGCGCGUAGGUGGUUUGUUAAGUUGGAUGUGAAAUCCCCGGGCUCAACCUGGGAACUGCAUCCAAAACUGGCAAGCUAGAGUAUGGUAGAGGGUGGUGGAAUUUCCUGUGUAGCGGUGAAAUGCGUAGAUAUAGGAAGGAACACCAGUGGCGAAGGCGACCACCUGGACUGAUACUGACACUGAGGUGCGAAAGCGUGGGGAGCAAACAGGAUUAGAUACCCGAGUAGUCCCUGUCUCUUAUAC